UUUUUUUUUUUUUGGCAUUGUCUUGCAGAAAGCAGCCGGCCUGGGCAAAUCAUCCAUCUGACUCCGAGAGGUCUACAUCAAUAUAUAUUAUGUCAAAGGAGGUGUUAUACACUUAUAAAAUCUAAAUAAGAACAUACUGUAUAUAAUUAAUAGCAUUAAAACCUUGAUUAUGGAUUGAUUUCCUAGAGAACAACUUAAUUACUGCUUCGUACUGCGCAAAAGAAAAAUAUAUUCAUUUAUAUCUCUUGGUCCAAGAUGCAGCUGGUUAAUUAGCACUUUACGCAGAGCCACAGAAGCUGCUUCAAAAAUGGAUAGCUCGUUGCAGCUUCUCUGUUGGGUUCAUCGUCUAUGUUACUUAAAAUCAAAGUUACUACAAAAAGAUUAAAAGCGAUCUUCCUAAACGAGGAACUCACUCGGAACCUCUGGUUUAUCUUUUCCGUCACUGUUUCUACAAUACAAAAUUUCUCAAUAAUUCAACCAUAAUCUCAUGAUAUUACCCUGAGUUGGUGAUGGCUUGUUGAUUCGGGUCGCGCUCGCCUGGGUUUGCUGCUGCUGCACCGCCGCACGAGUUAGCUACUGCUGUGGGUUCGAGUGGCUGCGUCCCUCAAGUUCAAUCGAUGAUAGAUGAACGAUGGUGGUUGUAAUCGUCGGUUCGCUGUGAGUUAAUGACAGUGGCUACCGGCGGCUGUUUUUGUUGCUUGAUUGCUUCACUUGGUAUGGGUGGGUGAGUGUGAUUCGUGUGAGAGAGGUAGACAGCAACGAGACUACGAGAGCGGCUGAGUGAGGGGAGAAUUUUUAGGGAUU
RNAcentral lists this long non-coding RNA (804 nucleotides) under Citrus maxima (pomelo). RNAcentral describes it as "long non-coding RNA (CMAX_LNC000248)". Lineage: Eukaryota; Viridiplantae; Streptophyta; Magnoliopsida; Sapindales; Rutaceae. The record is from RNAcentral.